Molecule: ribosomal RNA, 253 nt
Filed under: uncultured bacterium
Lineage: Bacteria
Description: partial 16S ribosomal RNA
Rfam family: Bacterial small subunit ribosomal RNA
Source: RNAcentral
UACGGGGGGGGCAAGCGUUGUUCGGAAUUACUGGGCGUAAAGGGCGCGUAGGCGGCCUUCUAAGUCAGACGUGAAAUCCCUCGGCUCAACCGGGGAACUGCGUCUGAUACUGGGUGGCUUGAAUUCGGGAGAGGGAUGCGGAAUUCCAGGUGUAGCGGUGAAAUGCGUAGAUAUCUGGAGGAACACCGGUGGCGAAGGCGGCAUCCUGGACCGAGAUUGACGCUGAGGCGCGAAAGCCAGGGGAGCAAACGGG